RNAcentral lists this ribosomal RNA (631 nucleotides) under uncultured archaeon. RNAcentral's name for it is "bacterial SSU rRNA". It matches the Rfam family "Archaeal small subunit ribosomal RNA", at positions 1 to 625 of the family's 1478-position model. The record is from RNAcentral.
GAAUCACUAGUGAUUUUCCGGUUGAUCCUGCCGGAGGUCACUGCUAUCGGGGUUCGAUUAAGCCAUGCGAGUUGAGAGGGUUUAGACCCUCGGCGGACUGCUCAGUAACACGUGGAUAACCUGCCCUAAGGUGGAGGAUAACCCCGGGAAACUGGGGAUAAUACUCCAUAGACCAGAGUGACUGGAAUGUUUACUGGUCGAAAGUUCCGGCGCCUUAGGAUGGAUCUGCGGCCGAUUAGGUAGUUGUUGGGGUAACGGACCAACAAGCCAGUCAUCGGUACGGGUUGUGGGAGCAAGAGCCCGGAGAUGGAAUCUGAGACACGAUUCCAGGCCCUACGGGGCGCAGCAGGCGCGAAAACUUUACAAUGCAGGAAACUGUGAUAAGGGAACCCCGAGUGCUCGUACACGCGAGCUGUCCAGGUGUGUAAAAAGCAUCUGAAGAAAGGGCCGGGCAAGACCGGUGCCAGCCGCCGCGGUAAUACCGGCGGCUCGAGUGGUGGCCACUAUUAUUGGGCUUAAAGCGUUCGUAGCUGGACUCUUAAGUCUCCUGGGAAAUCCGCCGGCUCAACCGGCGGGCGUCCAGGAGAUACUGGGAGUCUUGGAACCGGAAGAGGUAAGAGGUACUUCGGGG